GUGCCAGCAGCCGCGGUAACACCGGCGGCCCGAGUGGUAGCCGUUAUUAUUGGGUUUAAAGGGUCCGUAGCCGGCUUAUUAAGUCUCUUGGGAAAUCUGGCGGCUCAAUCGUCGGGCGUUCAAGAGAUACUGUUAGGCUUGGGACCGGGAGAGGUGGGAGGUACUCCAGGGGUAGGGAUGAAAUCUCGUAAUCCUUGGGGGACCACCGAUGGCGAAGGCAUCCCACCAGAACGGGUCCGACGGUGAGGGACGAAAGCUGGGGGCACGAACCGGAUUAGAUACCCGGGUAGUCCCAGCCGUAAACGAUGCUCGCUAGGUGUCAGGUGCGGUGCGACCGCAUCUGGUGCCGUAGUGAAAACUUGAAGCGAGUCACCUGGGAAGUACGGUCGCAAGGCUGAAACUUAAAGGAAUUGGCGGGGGAGCACUACAACGGGUGGAGCCUGCGGUUCAAUUGGAUUCAACGCCGGAAAGCUUACCGGGUCANACAGCAAUAUGAAGGUCAAGCUAAAGACUUUACCGAAUUCGCUGAGAGGAGGUGCAUGGCCGUCGUCAGUUCGUAUCGUGAGACAUCCUGUUAAGUCAGGCAACGAGCAAGACCCGUGCCCACAGUUGCCAGCAUACCCUCCGGGGUGAUGGGCACACUGUGGGGACCGCCGCUGCUAAAGCGGAGGAAGGUGCGGGCUACGGUAGGUCAGUAUGCCCCGAAUCAUCCGGGCUACACGCGGGCUACAAUGGUUGGGACAAUGGGCACCUACACCGAGAGGUGAUGGUAAUCUCCUAAACCCAGCCUUAGUUCGGAUUGAGGGCUGCAACUCGCCCUCAUGAAGCCGGAAUCCGUAGUAAUCGCGUAUCAAUAUCACGCGGUGAAUACGUCCC
RNAcentral lists this ribosomal RNA (876 nucleotides) under uncultured methanogenic archaeon. RNAcentral describes it as "bacterial SSU rRNA". It matches the Rfam family "Archaeal small subunit ribosomal RNA", at positions 455 to 1330 of the family's 1478-position model. The record is from RNAcentral. Lineage: Archaea; Methanobacteriati; Methanobacteriota.